Balaenoptera ricei (Rice's whale) is the source of this 1863-nucleotide long non-coding RNA. RefSeq lists it as uncharacterized. NCBI's taxonomy places the organism in Eukaryota, Metazoa, Chordata, Mammalia, Artiodactyla, Balaenopteridae. The record is from RefSeq and is a predicted model, not a curated record. The transcript is spliced from 7 exons.
CGCGGAGGCUGCUCUCACGCACUGGUGGAAGGAGAGGCCGCGCUCUCGGCUCAGCACGGUAUCCCGCGUGCUGCAGCCCACUGCCGAGCAACUUCGGGUCAUCUUCUUGCUACGUGGGGCUCCACCGUCGGUGUUCCCGCGACAGCAUGAAUCCCGAUAAAGUUAGCUCCGCCCGCAGACACUGCGGUUAGGACCUUUAUUUGUCGAGAAAGGCGGGCUCUUAAGGCGCAGGGCUCCCACCCUUUCUCUCCGGGGGCCCUGCGGCAGUCGCCGUGGCCAAUCACAGACCACGUCGUGUCGCAGCAGCCAAUCGGAAAGGCCAGGGGUAUUAAGACGCGCAUUGGGCCGCCCCUCCCCGCUUAUUGGAGGGUGGUUAGUGGGUUUAGCUGGCGUCGGCUUCCUUUCAUCCGUGUGCUCUGGUUAAAUCCAGUGCCAUCGCGCUUCUUGUGAGUCCCACCGAGAGAAUGCGAAGGGGAGAGGCAGGACCAAAGUUGAGGCGAGUCCUGUGGCAUGCCGAUGGGUCUCCAGUUCUCUGAUGCGGAGAUAAUGUAGGAGCUGUUGGUAUGGUUGACUGUAGGUAUGUGACCUCAGAGAAGCUUGAAUGAGAAUAUAAUACCAAGAUAAGUCGACUUUCAGUUCAGCUGAUUCUUUCCUGCAAGAUCCUUUGCCGCAAUGGGGGAAUUAAGAAGGGAAUAAGCUGGCAAGAAUGUGUCCAACAUUUCCAAGCAAGAUUGUUCUUUUUCCCUUUUUGUUUACUUUAUCCAGACUCUAGCCAAAAAGAUUCAUCUCAAGGAAAUGCCAGACUUUUUCCAAAGUGGCUGUACCAUUUUGCAUUCCCACGAGCGAUGGGCGAGGGUUCCAGUUCCUCCACAUUCUCAUGGGUGUGAAGUGUCAUCAUUGUGGCGGUUGCCCUUUUUUAAGGACUCAAAAGUUUGUAAGAAACUUGCUAGAGGAUGCUCCUUGAGUGCAGAGACAAUGUCUAAGGAAUUAUAUUCUUGGAGAUGUUGGAAAAAGAUUCCUGGGUCUUGGCAGAUAAUUACUAGAAAUAUGCAGAGGAGGAAUAAAAUUGAAGGGUGUUUUUCUUAGAGAACACCAUUUGUCAGAUUUAUCAGGAAUUUGAAGAUUUAUAUAAGGAACAGAAAGCCGCUGACGGUUGAAAUGGAGCAUUCACUUCUUUGGAUUGAGGACUGUAAUCAAAAACAAAUCCCAGUCAGUUUGGCAUUGAAGUUAGUUGCUGCACUGAAGGAAAAUGGUAAUUACAAGGACAUCUAUUUACUGCCAGUAAAGGCUGGUUUCCUUGUUUCAGAAGUCAGCAUGAAUUGAUUAAUGUUAAGCUGCCUGGUGAAGCUACAAGCUCAGAUAAGGAUGCUACUGUGAAAUUUGCACUCAAGAUUCCAAGAAUUACAGGCAGUCUUUGCUUUGCACAGUAGUGAGAGACUGUACUAUGCAAAAAACUGCAGGAUAUGGAUGGGAUGUAAGUGGAGUUAGAAGAUAAAGAUGGCCUUGGGAAUGCUGACACUGGUGCCAUUCAAGAAAUAGUUAUAGAUACGCAGGAGGCAGAACGUAGUGAAGGCGAAUAUAAAGUUUUACGUGAGUAAAGCAGUUGUAAAGGAUGAACGCGUCUCAGAAGUCAUGCUGUUGAAAAACUUCACAUUGAAGGAACUUUCAGAGAUGUUUCAUGACAUUGACAGCACAAAGGAUAAAAUUUUGGAAGCUGAUUCAAACUUAGAAAGGAGUAUGACAGUUUGCCAAGGCAGAGAUAAGAUGCUCAUUCCGUGUUAUGUCAUAUAAUGUGAAGAAAGCAAGCACUUUUCAAACUACUUGAUACAUUUUUUAUAAAGAAAUAAAACAUUAUAAUUUUCA